RNAcentral lists this long non-coding RNA (2701 nucleotides) under Homo sapiens (human). RNAcentral's name for it is "HSALNT0363990". The record is from RNAcentral. Lineage: Eukaryota; Metazoa; Chordata; Mammalia; Primates; Hominidae.
GGAGGUGGAGCUUAGACAGUAAUGCUCACUCACCAGCUGCUCACCUCCUGCUGUGAGGCCCAGUUCCUAACAGGCCAGACUGGUAAGGGUCCUCGGCCCAGGGGGCUGGGGACCCCUGCUCUAGGGGAAAAAUACCAGAUUAGGUUCCUCUUAGCCUCUGGUCACAUUUUUAUCAAUCGGUCAAUACAUAACCUCGUUUUAUAUGUGUUUCUGUUUAAAGACACCUUAUUUAAUAUUUGUUGAUUCAGUAAGACUGAACUCAUGGCUAACAGCACUUCAACUCUGCCUGAACAAAGCUUAUCUAAUACAUGUAUUUUCUCAGUAAGGCACAUUACAGCCUUCUUGUGUUUAGAAACACUAGACAGAACUUCAGCACUAUGCUUGGGGAUCUUUUUAAACAGUGAAAUCACCAACAAAAAGCACAAAAAUGCAAAAAACAUGGUACCCGAUAUAUGACAAAGAAGACACUUGUUUACAGGAUGAGAGGUGAAAUAAGUACACAAAACACUGCCUUGUGCCACCUCAGCUGGGAAUGUGCACGUCAGGAGACUCAGAUGUUUUCACUGCCCUGUCCAUGUGAAUGUCUGAGAUUAACAGCCAAAGCAUGCUGUUUGGUCUGUUCAGGCUGGUAAAACAAAAUACCUCAGACUGUUAUUUAUAAACAUGAAAUUUACAGUCCACAGUGCUGGAGGCUGGAAAGUCCAGGAUCAAGGCACCAGCAGAUUUGGUGCCUGGUGAGGGCCCUGUUUCUAACAGAUGGUGGAGGGGACAACGGAAGCCCUCAAGCUGCUUUUGUAAGGGCAAAAAUCCCCUUCACGAGGGCUCUGCCCUCACAGCCCACCUAAUCACCUCCCAAAGGCCCCACCUCCUAAUACCAACACAUCAGGGAUAAGAUUUCAACAUACACGUUUUGGAGGGACACAAACAUUCAGUCCAUACAUGAACAGCCACCUCUGUGCCACAAUGCUACUGGGACGCAGAGGUGAAGAGGUGCCACCACCGUCAAGAGGCCUUGGAGAAAGACCAUGGCACAUUAAAGAAAUAAUCGGAGGCAGCACUGGAAAAAGGAGCAUCUGGAUGCAGUAAAGACCCAUCCCUUCCCGCACUGGAGCUGUUGGCUCAUCCCUGGAAAUCACAACAAUCAAGAAUGGAGAAUCGUUCUUUUCAUCCCUUCUCACAGCAUUAUCCCAGCAACCUCAUCCCCUAACAAUGGUGUGGUCUGUGUUAUGUUUUCCCUCCAUCACUGCCCCUCCCUGCUGCUGCACAACAGAGGUGCUGUGCCCCAGAGGCCGCUGAGGUUGCAGGCCUCUCAGCCUCUGAAACAAGGCUGUGAGCGUUUGGAUGCACCCUCAGAAGGAGCUGCAUAAAUAAUCAGAUGAAAAACACCAAACCUUAACUAAAAAUGAAUUUUUUUUCCUCCAUUUUUUCCUCCAUUAAACCAGCUAAAAGAUUUUCAUGACAAUUCCCUGUAGUGUGAUAAAACAGACACCCUUGCAUGUUGCUCUGAACUAUUUGUUAGUAUUAUGUGUUUGGAAAAUAAUCUGGCAGUAUUUCAAAUGCCUUAAAAAUGUUCAUCCCUUUGUGCCCAAUAAUUCUCAUUUCUGGCAUCUGACUUUAAGGUAAUAAUUCAAAGGAAAGAAAAAGAUGUAUGUAUGAAGAUAUAUAUUGCAGUACUAGUUGGGGAAAAAAGUGGUAGAGUUUCUGUUCUUUACAGUUUUCUCCCAUGUUUUCCUCUCUAACUUACCCUUAGGCUUGGUAACAUUCAUCUCUAUGGCUCUUGAUAGAACCAGACAUAAUGACAGAAACUGGAAUUUCUCACCCAUGUUCACAACCUAAACAAGAUCUGCUAUAAAAAUAAUUUACUAUAUGACUAAUCAUACUUAGCAGAGAGCCACAUUUGAGGCCUUUUCAUUUUUAUGAGAUAUAAAAUUAUUAAAGUGCACUUAAAAUAAAAAAUUAACUUACACAUUUAUUAUUCUACUGUAAACCAGGCACUGUGCCACGGGCUGAGGAUACAGCAGUAAACAAAACAGACAUGGUCCAUGAUCUCAGAGCUGAGUAUCUGGCAGAGAUAUAAAGAAACAGACUUUUUUUUUUUUUUGAGACCGAGUCUUGCUCUGUCACCCAGGGUGGAGUGCUGGAGUGCACCGGUGUGAUCUCGGCUCACUGCAACCUCUGCCUCCUGGGUUCAAGCAAUUCUCCUGCCUCAGCCUCCUGAGUAGCUGGGAUUACAGGUACACACCACCACACUGGCUAACUUUUGCAUUUUUGUGGAGAUGGGGUUUCGCCAUGUUGGCCAGGCUGGUCUGGAACUCCUGGCCUCGAUCUGCCCCUGCUUGGCCUCUCAAAGUGCGGGGAUUACAGGCAUGAGCCACUGCGCCCAGGUGAGAAGAAACAGAUAAUUUUGAAAAACAAUUUUAUUUUCUUUUUUUCUAGAGACAGGGGUCUCACUAUGUUUCCCAGGCAGGAUUUGAGCUCUUUGGCUCAAGCAAUCUUCUUGCCUCAGCCUCCCAGUAGGUGGGACUACAGGGAUGUACCAUCAUGCCCAGCUAAGAAACAGGUAAUUAUGAUAAAGCAUGAUCAAUAUUAUGAUCAAGGAAAAUAUGGUGCACCAUGAGAAUUAAUAGCAAGGAAGAGGGUCUUAUCCUUGUUCAAUGUGGGAAGAAGAUAAGGAAUUUGGACAUCAUCCUAAGGACAACAG